GAUGAACGCUAGCGGCAGGCCUAAUACAUGCAAGUCGGACGGGAUUCAGGAGCUUGCUUCUGAUGAGAGUGGCGCACGGGUGCGUAACACGUAUGUAACCUACCUUUAUCAGGGGGAUAGCCUCUCGAAAGAGAGAUUAAGCCCGCAUAAAAUCACAGCACAGCAUUGUGUAAUGAUCAAAUAUUUAUAGGAUAAAGAUGGGCAUGCGGAACAUUAGCUAGAUGGCGGGGUAACGGCCCACCAUGGCGACGAUGUUUAGGGGAUCUGAGAGGAUGGCCCCCCACACUGGUACUGGGACACGGACCAGACUCCUACGGGAGGCAGCAGUAAGGAAUAAUGGUCAAUGGGCGGAAGCCUGAACCAGCCAUGCCGCGUGCAGGAAGACGGCCCUACGGGUUGUAAACUGCUUUUAUACGGGAAUAAACCCAGAUACGUGUAUCUGGCUGAAUGUACUGUAAGAAUAAGGAUCGGCUAACUCCGUG
RNAcentral lists this ribosomal RNA (482 nucleotides) under uncultured bacterium. Its description in RNAcentral is "partial 16S ribosomal RNA". It matches the Rfam family "Bacterial small subunit ribosomal RNA", at positions 28 to 507 of the family's 1533-position model. The record is from RNAcentral.